This 34-nucleotide small RNA is filed under the name Bombyx mori (domestic silkworm). RNAcentral's name for it is "ovarian small RNA-11614". The record is from RNAcentral. Lineage: Eukaryota; Metazoa; Arthropoda; Insecta; Lepidoptera; Bombycidae.
ACGUGGCGGAAACGCUCGUCGCCGUUUAAAACUC